UACGUAGGGUGCAAGCGUUGUCCGGAAUUAUUGGGCGUAAAGAGCUCAUAGGCGGUCUGUCGCGUCGGCUGUGAAAACCCGGGGCUCAACCCCGGGCCUGCAGUCGAUACGGGCAGACUAGAGUGCGGUAGGGGAGACUGGAAUUCCUGGUGUAGCGGUGAAAUGCGCAGAUAUCAGGAGGAACACCGGUGGCGAAGGCGGGUCUCUGGGCCGUAACUGACGCUGAGGAGCGAAAGCGUGGGGAGCGAACAGG
Molecule: ribosomal RNA, 253 nt
Filed under: uncultured bacterium
Lineage: Bacteria
Description: partial 16S ribosomal RNA
Rfam family: Bacterial small subunit ribosomal RNA
Source: RNAcentral